Non-coding RNA from Ceratotherium simum simum (southern white rhinoceros), 419 nucleotides. The record is from RefSeq and is a predicted model, not a curated record. Lineage: Eukaryota; Metazoa; Chordata; Mammalia; Perissodactyla; Rhinocerotidae.
AAUUGGGGAUAAAUGGAAUUUAUAAAAUUCCAGAGGUUAUAUAAAUAUUGGCUGGAAUGAUCUCCCAGAAAAAAUUACAUAGCCUACAACAUCUUGGAUGAGACAAUUAUCUCCUCCGACUGGUUUAUAAGAAACACAAAUGACUUAAAUGAUAGGAUAUAUUGUAGAUAUAUAGAUAACAUAUAUGUUUAUUACACUGACUGCACUGAGCAAAGAAGGAUUAUAUGUGAGAAGUUGGCUAAUCCAGUGAAGAUUGAGAGUACACUAAUGAGUGAAGUACCAGAUGGAAGAAUGUAGUCGGUGCAAUUAUUUUGCCUCAGCUAUUAUCCUGCAAUUAAGGGCAACUUCAGGGAGCAUAUAUCUUGUGGACCACACAAAUGGAAUAUAGAUGCUAUAAGACUAAAUUUUUGCCUCUCUCC